This 406-nucleotide ribosomal RNA is filed under the name uncultured bacterium. RNAcentral describes it as "bacterial SSU rRNA". It matches the Rfam family "Bacterial small subunit ribosomal RNA", at positions 355 to 776 of the family's 1533-position model. The record is from RNAcentral.
UGGGGGAUAUUGCACAAUGGAGGGAACUCUGAUGCAGCGACGCCGCGUGAAGGAAGAAGGCCUUCGGGUCGUAAACUUCUGUCCUUGGGGAAGAAAGAAAUGACGGUACCCUUGGAGGAAGCCCCGGCUAACUACGUGCCAGCAGCCGCGGUAACACGUAGGGGGCGAGCGUUAUCCGGAAUUACUGGGCGUAAAGAGUGCGUAGGUGGCUUUUUAAGCGCGGGGUCUAAGGCUAUGGCCUAACCAUAGUCCGCCCUGCGAACUGGAGAGCUUGAGUACAGGAGGGGAAAGCGGAAUUCCUAGUGUAGCGGUGAAAUGCGUAGAUAUUAGGAGGAACACCAGUGGCGAAGGCGGCUUUCUGGACUGAAACUGACACUGAGGCACGAAAGCGUGGGUAGCAAACAGG